UUGAUUCAUUUUGAAUUUUUGCUCAGAGCUGUAAGAAAUAACGUCCGCGAGGGGACUACAGAAAGAGUUUGGUUGGUUCCUCCGGCGGGCGCCUGGUUCCGGGGCUGCGACGCACCCGGGGCGUGACCCCGCCGAGGCAACAGUUUGGUAACGUUCACAUUGGGUUUGGGAGUUGUAAACUCGGUAAUGAUCCUUCCGCAGGUUCACCUACGGAAA
This 216-nucleotide unclassified non-coding RNA is filed under the name uncultured fungus. Its description in RNAcentral is "sequence contains ITS1". The record is from RNAcentral. Lineage: Eukaryota; Fungi.